Molecule: ribosomal RNA, 253 nt
Filed under: uncultured bacterium
Lineage: Bacteria
Description: partial 16S ribosomal RNA
Rfam family: Bacterial small subunit ribosomal RNA
Source: RNAcentral
GACAGAGGUGCCGAGCGUUAGGCGGAAUCACUGGGCUUAAAGCGUGUGUAGGCGGGUCGUUAAGUGUCUUGUGAAAUCCCACCGCUCAACGGUGGAACUGCUGGGCAUACUGGCGAUCUUGAGCCACCUAGGGGCAGACGGAACAAGCGGUGGAGCGGUGAAAUGCGUAGAUAUCAUUUGGAACGCCAAUGGUGAAAACAGGUAGCUGGGGCUGUGCUGACGCUGAGACACGAAAGCCAGGGGAGCGAACGGG